This is a non-coding RNA of Erinaceus europaeus (western European hedgehog), 429 nucleotides long. The record is from the annotation of a RefSeq genome assembly. Lineage: Eukaryota; Metazoa; Chordata; Mammalia; Eulipotyphla; Erinaceidae.
AGGAUGGUUACAAUACCCCAGGAGUUUGUGUGAAAUAGCUCCCUUAAGAUGUUAAUAAUUCUGAUAUUCUUAGGACUGGACUCUGGACUUGGUAAUCUCAUCUUUCAACAUCCAAGCAGAGUUCUCUGCAAGAAUGGAACUUCAGUGACCAUCAAGUGCAGCUUAGAAGGCAUACAGGGUACAACUAUCAUUUGGUAUCGUCAGCUUCUGAGUCAAAGUCUCACAGUAAUAGCGACUUCAAAUAUGGGCUCCAAUCCUGCAUAUGAGCAAGGUUAUAAAAGAGAGAAGUUUUCCAUCAGCCAUCCAAACCUCACAUUUUCAGAUCUGACAGUGAAGCGUGUCCUUCCUGAAGACAGCAGCCUCUACUUCUGCAGUGCCAGUGACACAGAGCGGUGCACUGAGCAGACACCCAGACAAGAACCUUUGUAA